RNAcentral lists this small nucleolar RNA (54 nucleotides) under Pyrobaculum neutrophilum V24Sta. Its description in RNAcentral is "PNEsR26". Lineage: Archaea; Thermoproteati; Thermoproteota; Thermoprotei; Thermoproteales; Thermoproteaceae. The record is from RNAcentral.
GUGAUGAGGUCCACAGUGGGGCCUACGACAUGUGAGUGAGGUCUGGAGCACUGA